Molecule: long non-coding RNA, 348 nt
Filed under: Olea europaea (common olive)
Lineage: Eukaryota; Viridiplantae; Streptophyta; Magnoliopsida; Lamiales; Oleaceae
Description: long non-coding RNA (OEUR_LNC002329)
Source: RNAcentral
AAAAUGAUAUUUACUUUUCAAAAAGCUCUUUUGGUGAAUGAAAAAAAAAAUUUGAUUAAUGUGAAAAAAUAAUUUUUGACUAGAUUUUUCUUAAAAGUAACCCCCUCAUAUUAGGGCUAAAUGUGUUAAUGUAGCAUCAACUUCUAGGCCUAACAUAACAUCUUCUUUUUUGUUUCUGAGUUUCUCGGUGAACAAAAAUAACCUUAUACUCAAAAUUUCGAAAUUACUUACUUCCCAAGAAUCAUUCUUCAGAGAGCCCCCCCACCACCGGCCCACCCAACCCAGAACCAGAAGCUGCUGCAGCGGGAAGAAGAUGGACUUUGCGGAGCAAGCCCUGAAUUUAUNNNN